RNAcentral lists this ribosomal RNA (546 nucleotides) under Jianghuaimon dabiense. RNAcentral describes it as "Potamidae gen. 1 sp. 1 CH-2022a partial large subunit ribosomal RNA". It matches the Rfam family "Bacterial large subunit ribosomal RNA", at positions 1831 to 2625 of the family's 2925-position model. The record is from RNAcentral. Lineage: Eukaryota; Metazoa; Arthropoda; Malacostraca; Decapoda; Potamidae.
GUUUGUUUGAAGGUAUAAGGAAUUUAACCUGCCCCCUGACUAGUAGGUUAAAGGGCCGCAGUAUUAUAACUGUGCAAAGGUAGCAUAAUCAUUAGGUUUUUAAUUGAAAUCUUGUAUGAAUGGUUGGACAAGAGAAAAACUCUCUUUAUAUUAAAUUUUGAACUUAACUUUUAAGUGAAAAGGCUUAAAUAUUCUAGAGGGACGAUAAGACCCUAUAAAACUUUACAUUAUAAUUUUAUUUAAUUUAAUUUAUAAAUAAAGGUUUAAUUAUAUUAUUUGUUAUGUUGGGGAGACAUAAGUAAAAUAUUAUUUUAACUGCUUAAUAGAUAAAACAAUUUAUUAAUGUACUGGUAAAGGAUCCUUUCUAAAGAUUAAUAGGUUAAGUUACUUUAGGGAUAACAGCGUAAUUUCUUUUGAGAGUUCUUAUCGAAAAAGAAGGUUGCGACCUCGAUGUUGAAUUAAAAUAUCUGUAUAAUGUAGGAGUUAUAUGAGAAGGUCUGUUCGACCUUAAAAAUUUUACAUGAUUUGAGUUCAAACCGGCGUGAG